Molecule: unclassified non-coding RNA, 379 nt
Filed under: uncultured bacterium
Lineage: Bacteria
Description: contains 16S-23S intergenic spacer region
Source: RNAcentral
UCGCGGCUUAUCACCGGCAGUCCCCUUAGAGUGCCCAACUAAAUGAUGGCAACUAAAGACGAGGGUUGCGCUCGUUGCGGGACUUAACCCAACAUCUCACGACACGAGCUGACGACAGCCAUGCAGCACCUCGACUAGUGUCCCCGAAAGGAAGGAGAGCUUUCACCCUCUGUCACUAGCCGUUCGAGCCCAGGUAAGGUUCUUCGCGUUGCGUCGAAUUAAACCACAUGCUCCACCGCUUGUGCGGGCCCCCGUCAAUUCCUUUGAGUUUCAGUCUUGCGACCGUACUCCCCAGGCGGAGUGCUUAAUGUGUUGACUUCGGCACAGCAGGGGUCGAUACCCGCUACACCAAGCACUCAUCGUUUACGGCGUGGACUAC